GCUACCUACGGGGCGCAGCAGUGGGGAAUAUUGCACAAUGGGGGAAACCCUGAUGCAGCAACGCCGCGUGAGUGAAGAAGUAUCUCGGUAUGUAAAGCCCUAUCAGCAGGGAAGAACAAUGACGGUACCUGACUAAGAAGCACCGGCUAAAUACGUGCCAGCAGCCGCGGUAAUACGUAUGGUGCAAGCGUUAUCCGGAUUUACUGGGUGUAAAGGGAGCGCAGGCGGCGCGUUAAGCCUGGUGUGAAAGCCCGCGGCCCAACCGCGGGACUGCAUUGGGAAC
This 283-nucleotide ribosomal RNA is filed under the name uncultured bacterium. Its description in RNAcentral is "partial 16S ribosomal RNA". It matches the Rfam family "Bacterial small subunit ribosomal RNA", at positions 334 to 633 of the family's 1533-position model. The record is from RNAcentral.